Molecule: ribosomal RNA, 537 nt
Filed under: Aureobasidium proteae
Lineage: Eukaryota; Fungi; Ascomycota; Dothideomycetes; Dothideales; Saccotheciaceae
Description: eukaryotic LSU rRNA
Rfam family: Eukaryotic large subunit ribosomal RNA
Source: RNAcentral
UGCCCUAGUAACGGCGAGUGAAGCGGCAACAGCUCAAAUUUGAAAGCUAGCCUUCGGGUUCGCAUUGUAAUUUGUAGAGGAUGAUUUGGGGAAGCCGCCUGUCUAAGUUCCUUGGAACAGGACGUCAUAGAGGGUGAGAAUCCCGUAUGUGACAGGAAAUGGCACCCUAUGUAAAUCUCCUUCGACGAGUCGAGUUGUUUGGGAAUGCAGCUCUAAAUGGGAGGUAAAUUUCUUCUAAAGCUAAAUAUUGGCGAGAGACCGAUAGCGCACAAGUAGAGUGAUCGAAAGAUGAAAAGCACUUUGGAAAGAGAGUUAAAAAGCACGUGAAAUUGUUGAAAGGGAAGCGCUUGCAAUCAGACUUGUUUAAACUGUUCGGCCGGUCUUCUGACCGGUUUACUCAGUUUGGACAGGCCAGCAUCAGUUUCGGCGGCCGGAUAAAGGCUCUGGGAAUGUGGCCUCCACUUCGGUGGAGGUGUUAUAGCCCAGGGUGUAAUACGGCCAGCCGGGACUGAGGUCCGCGCUUCGGCUAGGAUGCUG